This 560-nucleotide ribosomal RNA is filed under the name uncultured bacterium. RNAcentral's name for it is "bacterial SSU rRNA". It matches the Rfam family "Bacterial small subunit ribosomal RNA", at positions 338 to 916 of the family's 1533-position model. The record is from RNAcentral.
CCUACGGGAGGCAGCAGUGGGGAAUAUUGGACAAUGGGCGAAAGCCCGAUCCAGCAAUGCCGCGUGAGUGAUGAAGGCCUUAGGGUCGUAAAGCUCUUUUACCCGGGAUGAUAAUGACAGUACCGGGAGAAUAAGCCCCGGCUAACUCCGUGCCAGCAGCCGCGGUAAUACGGAGGGGGCUAGCGUUGUUCGGAAUUACUGGGCGUAAAGCGUGCGUAGGCGGUUAUUCAAGUCAGAGGUGAAAGCCCGGGGCUCAACCCCGGGAACGGCCUUUGAAACUAGGUAGCUAGAAUCUUGGAGAGGUCAGUGGAAUUCCGAGUGUAGAGGUGAAAUUCGUAGAUAUUCGGAAGAACACCAGUGGCGAAGGCGACUGACUGGACAAGUAUUGACGCUGAGGCACGAAAGCGUGGGGAGCAAACAGGAUUAGGAUACCCGUGGUAGUCCACGCCGUAAACGAUGAUAACUAGCUGUUCGGGUACUUGGUAUCUGAGUGGCGCAGCUAACGCAUUAAGUUAUCGCCUGGGGAUACGGUCGCAGAUUAAACUCAAAGGAAUUGACGG